UAAAAGUUCUCAGUGUGCUGACAAACGACGUGCGGCGUGUGUCGCUUGGAUGCGGGAAGACGGGGACUGAUGCAAGGACGUCAUCGCCGCGCUUACUCAGUCUCCUAGCAACAGAAAACAUCUGCCUCCUCCAGGACCAAUGAGGGCACACACUGAGCGGAGUGUGUUGUCUCCUGUUGCUGUGAACGGGAUAUUUUGGGAGUCUGGGAGAGCAGUGAGCGUCUCACCCCGACAGGAGCUUGAGCUCUGCGCACGUCCGCCGUCUGGCUUUCUGUUUGCACCGACACAGGCUGUGGCUUCAGGCGAGCUGGAGAGUCGCUAGAUCGGUGUGAGGACGGUGGAUGAAGCGCCGAAGAGAGAAGGACGUAAAGGAAGAGAGAGGAAGGGAGGCUUUAACUGCUGCACGACAUAAUUAUUUAAAGCAGGAUUCUGAGGGCGAUGUGGAGAAUCAGAUCAGCUCUAAUUUAAACUCCGGUCAGAAAGCCGAGUCAGCUGUGGACCAAUCGGCAGCAGCUUCCCCGUGAGAGAGACCAAACCAUUCAACGACGUCGAAAGUUGCUUACUUCAAGAGGAAAUAUGCGGAGGAGGAGGAUUUACACCGAGGCCUACAUGGAUAUUUUCAAAAACACUUGAUACUGCAGGAGGACCGGAGCUGCAUCCUGAGGCUGUCCCUGGAGAAGCUAAGGUUCCUGGAAGAUCCCGAGGCCUACCUGAGGCGCUCCGUCCUUAUCAACAACCUUCUGAGGAAGAUCCACCAUGAGGAGGAGGAGCUGGAGGCUGAGGAGGAGGAAGAAGAAGAAGAUGAAGUAGAUGAAGAGGAAGAAGAGGAGGGGGUUAUUGGGGAUAGGGGGCAACGGAGGCUGAUGUGCCCAGACAGGAAGAGGGUGAAGGUGCUAGUGACAGACUGCUGCUCCCCAGGGUUUGGCCUGGAGGAGCUGCAGCACUACCGGCUGGUGCCGUGCUACCCAUCAGCUGGAUGCCUGUACAGCCUGGGUACCUGCCCAGGCCUCACCCCGAACCACCAGGUCCUCCUGUACAACCUGGACGACAAUGGUUGACUCUCCGAUCCUCACUGCCAGGCCUCUUUUCAAAGCUGGGAAACACAGCAUGGGUUCACGUCGCAGGCAUGUGGACCAGCAUAGGUUGUUCCAAUCAGCAGGAGGAAAGCUGCUGCUGUUUUCUCCCUGUUCACUAAAAUGCUUUGAGGGGAAUGUGUUGCAGGCUCUGUUUUGUGCGUCAGCAGGAUGUCACCUCUUCUCGUCGCCUUGCUAAGAGGUAGUGGUGGAUUUAAGAAGCUCAGAGACCCUUCUUCUUCUGCCUCAGGAUCAGCAGAGUCUCUGGUGUUGAUGUCAAACUCUGCUGCACCAUCACUGCUAUUUACUGUUUGUGCAAAUAUAAGAGACUUUAAGCAGGCAGCAUUUUUUUUUUAAAUUCUUUGCAGCUGUAGUAUUAUUGAUUUUUAUUGUCACUGUUGCUCAUGUAAUCUGUGAGCGCAUUCAGGGAUUUACAGACUGCCGGCUACUUUUGAUGCACCUUGGCUUGUGUGGAGAAUAUUUGCUGAUGUGCUUCUGUUAUCUUUUUAUGCUACUGUGUGAUUUAUGAAAUAUUCUGUGUAACAUUCCCUGGACUGUGUGAAUUCUCAUGCUAUGAAGAACUCGAGGCACUCAUUCCCUGGGGUACGUUUACUGCCUGUGGGAAGACUGUUUUCUCUCUGGGGAAUGUCCUGUGAUCAUGUUUUCAUUUUGCAGCACUUUGCUGUCCUCUGCUGGUGAAAAAAAAAAUCUUAAAGCAUUUCUUAUUAGUAGCUUGUGUUCAAAUAAGAAAGCAGAGGAAUGCUUUAUUUUAAACUCGCCCCAAUUUAGCAUUUAUAAGCAUUACAUAUACUAUAUACAGCUUAUAACCCACUAUAGAUGCAAGGAGAUUUGUCAACAGCUAUAACAUCUGCCGAUACAUAAAUAUAGCAAAAGAUUUUAAAAAAUAUAUUUUGUCAUAUGAGUUAUAACUGUUGGCAAACACUACAUUAUUACAGUUAUAAGCACCAACCUGUCAUCUGCAUAGUCUAAAUAUUCAAAAUGAUGCAUAUAUGUAUAAUAAAGAGAAAUGAUGCUAGUGGCAGUAAAUGCCCAUUUUGUUUUCACUUUUAGACAUAAAAGAAAUAAAAUUUGUUUUGUUUUUGGCCAUCUCAAAGGAGGAAAUCCUUUUUGUCAGUUCUAUCAAUUAUUAAUUUUUUUUUUCUGCAAACAAAUAUUGUUUUUGUGAAUGCAUUUCAGCCUUGUGGUGUUUUAAUGCUGAAUUUCAGAGAGAAGAAGGCCUUUACAUUGAUGUUGCAUUUCAUAUUUUCUUACUAUUAUUCCAGCAGCAGUAGUGUUUUCACAGAGGACUGAGGUUUGCUAAAUGGUCAGAAGAUAUAUUGAUUAAAGUGGCACGCUGGUGCUUUACAAAGCUGACUUAUCUGCUGUAUGACAACAGUGACUGAGUAUCCAUCCUUCUUCUGUGUCUUUUUGUGUGUUCAGUGUCUAUCCAGGUGUUUUACUGACUUUGAAAAUGUGCAUCUUGAUAACAAUCACUUCAAUGAAAAGGAAAAAAAAUAAAACAAUGACAAACUAAAGGCAACUAUUAAAGAGAAGCUUGAUAUUUUAAAUCAAGAAUUUAUAUUUUGAUGAAUAUGAAUAGUCUGUAUUUAAGAAACUAUUUUG
Long non-coding RNA from Archocentrus centrarchus (flier cichlid), 2696 nucleotides. RefSeq lists it as uncharacterized. The record is from RefSeq and is a predicted model, not a curated record. Lineage: Eukaryota; Metazoa; Chordata; Actinopteri; Cichliformes; Cichlidae. The transcript is spliced from 4 exons.